GAUGAACGCUAGCUACAGGCUUAACACAUGCAAGUCGAGGGGCAUCGAGAAGAAAGCUUGCUUUCUUUGUCGGCGACCGGCGCACGGGUGAGUAACGCGUAUCCAACCUUCCCCUUAGUAGGGCAUAGCCCGGCGAAAGUCGGAUUAAUACCCUAUGUUUUCCAAUGAGGACAUCUGAGCUGGAACAAAGAUUUAUCGCUAAGGGAUGGGGAUGCGUCUGAGAGACAGCGGCUCGGGGUAACGGCCCACCGAGCCAACGAUCAGUAGGGGUUCUGAGAGGAAGGUCCCCCACAUUGGAACUGAGACACGGUCCAAACUCCUACGGGAGGCAGCAGUGAGGAAUAUUGGUCAAUGGACGGGAGUCUGAACCAGCCAAGUAGCGUGCAGGAUGACGGCCCUAUGGGUUGUAAACUGCUUUUAUCGGGGGAUAAAGUGAGGGACGUGUCCCUUUUUGUAGUACCCGAUGAUAUGGCCCGGCUAUUCCGUGCCAGCAGCGCGGUAUACGAGAUCGAGCGUUAUCCGAUUAUUGGGUUUAAGGAGCGUAGCGGAGGAUCAAGUCCACCUGUGAAUGUAGUCCUCACUCUGCCUGCAUUGAAUUGGUUCCUUUGAUGCGUGAGAGAGCGAAAAUCCUGUGCGGGGAGGCUUAUGGAUCAUCAGCUUCGCCCGCCACAGCGUCGGUACUGCUGCAAGACUCGUCUCG
RNAcentral lists this ribosomal RNA (700 nucleotides) under uncultured bacterium. RNAcentral's name for it is "bacterial SSU rRNA". The stretch from base 1 to 521 matches the Rfam family "Bacterial small subunit ribosomal RNA", at positions 28 to 546 of the family's 1533-position model. The record is from RNAcentral.